GGGCCGUAACUAGGGUUCGAAUUCAGGGGAGGCAUGGGUUUUGGGGCCACCGAUUUAGGCCCCCAUAAUAGGGGGUUGGGGGGGGGGCACAGCCCCCAGCCGAUUUUUUUCUCUCAGUCAUUGGCUAAAAAUGACCCGUUUCCCUUCGAUUUCCUUAAUUUAAGAAACAUCAGUAUUGCUUGAACCUGGAAGCAACUUUUAUGCAAAAACAAGCUGAGAUUGCUGUUCUGGGUGAGCCAAGGCUCCGUCUUGAAGGCCGUACUUUGACCUAUAAUUGUUAACAUUA
This 286-nucleotide long non-coding RNA is filed under the name Mytilus galloprovincialis (Mediterranean mussel). Lineage: Eukaryota; Metazoa; Mollusca; Bivalvia; Mytilida; Mytilidae. The record is from RNAcentral.